GACGAACGCUGGCGGCGUGCUUAACACAUGCAAGUCGAACGGAAAGGCCCGGCCUUGGUGGGGUGCUCGAGUGGCGAACGGGUGAGCAACACGUGAGUAACCUGCCAUUGACUGUGGGAUAACUUCAGGAAGCUGGGGCUAAUACCGGAUAGGAGCUCCUGCUGCAGGGUGGGGGUGGGAAAGUUUCGGCGGUUGGGGAUGGACUCGCGGCUUAUCAGCUUGUUGGUUGGGUAGUGGCUGAGCAAGGCUUGGACACGUAGCCGGCCUGGUCGGGUGACCGGCCCCGUUGGGCCUGGGCUGCGGCCCAGCCUCCUCCGCGACGCGGAGGUGCGGUAUAUUGUACUAUGGGCUGGACGCUGGUGCAGCCCCGCCGCGUGGCGGAUGUCGGCCAUCGCGUUGUAUUCCGCUUCCGUCUUUGCCGAAGCGUGAGUGACGGUACUGGGUGAAGAAGCACCGGCUAACUCCGUG
This 468-nucleotide ribosomal RNA is filed under the name uncultured bacterium. RNAcentral's name for it is "partial 16S ribosomal RNA". It matches the Rfam family "Bacterial small subunit ribosomal RNA", at positions 28 to 507 of the family's 1533-position model. The record is from RNAcentral.